This 63-nucleotide microRNA precursor is filed under the name Caenorhabditis brenneri. Its description in RNAcentral is "microRNA cbn-mir-35c precursor (cbn-mir-35c-2)". Its record names the gene cbn-mir-35c-2. Lineage: Eukaryota; Metazoa; Nematoda; Chromadorea; Rhabditida; Rhabditidae. The record is from miRBase by way of RNAcentral.
UGCUGAUUUUUGCCGCUGUGAUAUUUCUAAGCCAUGAUUAUCACCGGGCGAAAAUUUGGCACA